UAUGUCUUGUAACUAGCUAUUUAUGGAUAAGGCGUGUAGUAGAAUUGCUUGAAGCCAAAAGGGGCUCUCAAAUUGCGUUAAUAACAGCACCCCCACCCUCCUCUCUGUGCGAAGAAAUUAUUAUGGACCAGAAAGAAAAGGAGGUGUGAAAGGCUAGCAAAAAGUUGCGAAGAAAUACUGAGAGACACGAGAGGAAAAGGAAAGGGUGGAAGCGGAAAGAGGAGGAAAGGUUAUCAGAUGCUGCAGCGGAGUGCUAGAGCCCGUAUGUGUUGUUGCAGUACCAAUUUGGACACUUCACUGCUUGACCUUUGAACGUUAAGAUGUUGAUCGAAAAAUAUUCAGUCCCAGGAGCUUAAAAAUUGCAACGUAGGAGGCAAGAACUCUUGAAGACGGAGAACCAAAUGCAAGUUACAGUCAGCAAGAGUCCUGCCAUUCUCGAGUAUCCUAGCCUUCCACCUCCAAAGUGAUGGUUUUUCCUGGUAGCGUCUUCAUAAAAAAUUUGCAUUUCACCUCGGAGGCGAAAGACCAAGUGAAGAGUGGGACUCCUUUUGGAUACGGGCCGCUUUCAAGCUGUUUCCCUGCGAAGAUAAGCCUUUGCUGAUCCGGUGGGAUCCCUUCCUUGUCCCAGAUCUUGGCCUUGACAUUAUCAGAGCUUUCGACCCCCAACAUUAUAAAAAUAGACAGAACGAGUGAGAGAAUCAUCGACGAAGCCAAAAUCGAAAAUCCAUAGAAGAAAAGAGCUGGGAUGAAAUUGGAUGAAGGGAUCUGAGAAGAUCCGAUGUGUUUAUCGGAGGCAAGAGGCAGAUAAAUUUGUUGGCUUCUUCUUUCUCUGAUACAGAUACAGAUACAGAUACGUUCGCAUAGCCUAGUAUUUCUUUCUUUUGAUGUAAAUUCGUUUGAGAAUGAUACGGUGAAAGUGUCGAUUUGCAAUCAAAAGAUUAACAAUGCCAGAAGUGAGGGUUAACGAACUACACUCGAACUUGAUCU
Molecule: long non-coding RNA, 987 nt
Organism: Populus trichocarpa (black cottonwood)
Lineage: Eukaryota; Viridiplantae; Streptophyta; Magnoliopsida; Malpighiales; Salicaceae
Exons: 3
Source: RefSeq, a predicted model, not a curated record